This 228-nucleotide ribosomal RNA is filed under the name uncultured fungus. RNAcentral's name for it is "partial 18S ribosomal RNA". It matches the Rfam family "Eukaryotic small subunit ribosomal RNA", at positions 40 to 274 of the family's 1831-position model. The record is from RNAcentral. Lineage: Eukaryota; Fungi.
AAGAUUAAGCCAUGCAUGUCUAAGUAUAAGCAAUUUAUACAGUGAAACUGCGAAUGGCUCAUUAAAUCAGUUAUCGUUUAUUUGAUAGUACCUUUACCUGGAUAACCGUGGUAAUUCUAGAGCUAAUACAUGCUAAAAACCUCGACUUCGGAAGGGGUGUAUUUAUUAGAUAAAAACCAAUGCCCUUCGGGGCUCCUUGGUGAUUCAUAAUAACUUAACGAAUCGCAU